RNA transcript from Vitis riparia (riverbank grape), 2155 nucleotides. It is a transcript of the gene named DNA repair protein RAD51 homolog 2-like, with no coding region annotated. NCBI's taxonomy places the organism in Eukaryota, Viridiplantae, Streptophyta, Magnoliopsida, Vitales, Vitaceae. The transcript has 14 exons. The record is from RefSeq and is a predicted model, not a curated record.
GCCCACAUUUUUCCCUCAAAAAAUGGAAUUUAAGUGUAGAAACGCUCCGGAGAAGGGAGGGCAAAGGAAGAAGGAACGAUGGCGAACAAGUUGAUCAGUGAGAUGGGUCUCCCCACAUCAAUAGCCAACAUCUUCGCUGCUCGCAACAUCACUACUGCCAAGGAAGCAUUAUCUCUAACCGAAUUCGAAUUGAUGGAGUUAUUGGAUGUGGGUAUGGCGCGAGUAACAUCUGCAGUGGCACACAUCAGCGAAAUCGUCUCGCCACCGACGCAAACUGCCCUGUCACUGAUGGAGCAGAGGGUUCAGAAUGAGUAUAUGGCUGGCCAUCUUCCCACACGCCUCAAAGGGUUGGACGAGGCUUUAGGGGGUGGAAUCCCAUUUGGUGUUCUUACUGAGUUGGUUGGUCCUCCCGGAAUUGGCAAAACCCAAUUUUGCCUUAAACUCUCAUUAUUGGCUUCUCUGCCUGCAAGUUAUGGAGGCUUAGAUGGCCGUGUAAUAUAUAUUGAUGCCGAAUCCAAGUUUAGUUCAAGAAGGAUGAUAGAAAUUGGAUCAAAGAGUUUCCCAGAAAUAUUCCAUGUGGAAGGAAUGGCAAAGGAGAUGGCCGGGAGGAUCCUAGUUUUGAGGCCAACAUCACUGUCUGAAUUUACUGAGAGCUUACAGCACAUUAAGAUUUCACUUCUCCAAAAUCAUGUGAAGUUGCUUGUGAUUGAUAGCAUGGCUGCUCUUGUUACAGGGGAAUAUGACCAGGGGCCUACCAGACAACAUUCAUUGGGUUGGCAUAUUUCUUUUAUUAAGUCAGUUGCAGAAUUUUCACGAAUUCCUAUUGUAGUGACAAACCAGGUGAGGUCUCAAAGCCAUGACGGAACCUCGCAAUAUUCCUUCCAAGUGGAGAGCAGGGGUGAAACUGUAGAUGACCACACGAGAUUUGAUUCUCAUCUUGUUGCUGCUUUGGGGAUUCAUUGGGCUCAUGCUGUAACCAUUCGUCUUGUGCUUGAGGCUAAAGCAGGUCAGAGGUUUCUGAAAGUGGCAAAAUCUCCAAUAUCUCCACCUCUGGCAUUCCCUUUCAACAUAACUCCAUCAGGGAUCUCCUUGCUAAAUGAUGAGGGAAUAGAAAUGAAAGGACCACAGAUAAGCACAAUUCACUAUCAAGGCCACGAGGACAUCAUCAACUUUGACAGUGAAAGGUUGCAGUGAUCAAUCAGGACGCAAGCUGCAUCAAUCAAUAUGUAGUGGACAGAGGGGGAACAUGAUGAUUAAGAAUUAAGAAGUGAUCAAGCAAAUUGAGAAGCACACAAACCGGAUGCAAUGGAUUCAUGCAGACCAGCAGACAAGGAACACAUAAUUUAAGGUAAUGACUUACACCUAAAAGAUAUAAUCAUACCUGCUAUUUGUUCUAUUAUCAUGAAUCUCCAGUAAGGAGUAGAGAAGUGGCAACAUUGAGUUUCCAUAAAUAGUCAGCAUUCGGCUGUAGCCUGUCAAGGUGUCUAGCCGGUUAAGGCAAAUGCUAGGAUAUCUGUGGUAGAGGUGUAUGAUCCUAGGUUUGAUUUCUGUUGUUUGUUGAACCAGUGCUGGUUGUGACAGGCACUAUCAGUACCCAGAGAUUUUGGGUCCCUAUGGAGCGUCCAAGGGGCUCGGCCAUAGGAAGUUUCUUGGUUAUUUAAAAAGAAAAAAGGCUGCAAUAUCCCCAUGAAAGUCCAAAGGGCUUGGUCAUGGGAGGUUCAUCGACGAAAAAAAAAAAAAUUAGGCGGCAAAGAUCAUGAUGGCAUGAUGAGGGUGAUACCAUGUGAUCAUGUACCAAAGCAAAAUCUUAUUAGUUUAUGAGUCAGAUCUUUGGAACAAGAAUACCUUAGCAUGCACUCCAUCAAGAUUCAAAAGAUUUAUUCUUGUUUAUUAUUUGUAGGAACCGAGGAAAAAGAGCUUUUAAACUAUACAAGGAACUGGGUUGGGUUGUUUGUUUGUUUGCUCUCGCCUAAAGAAGACAUAAAAGUACUCCACAGUCCACACCCUUCAAGAAUGGUUUCUCAAGACAAAAGGAAAAAUAUUAUAUGCACCCAAAGCACACAAAGAUUGACUGGUUUUUAAGGUUUCUUUCCUUUCUUCUCUUAGGCUUUUCCAUUUUAUAUCAUUUCUCUCCACACACCAGGAUUGCUUUGAA